RNAcentral lists this long non-coding RNA (233 nucleotides) under Lathyrus oleraceus (garden pea). RNAcentral describes it as "Pisum sativum (pea) long non-coding RNA (PSAT_LNC023793)". The record is from RNAcentral. Lineage: Eukaryota; Viridiplantae; Streptophyta; Magnoliopsida; Fabales; Fabaceae.
UUUCUCACGUUUAUCACCACCUACCACUCUCACGUUCUCUCCCCAUCUCUCACCCUCUCACUUGUGAAAAAAGAAACAAAAAAUGAAAAAGAAAAGAAAUUGGAAAACUCCUUCGUCUUCAUCGCCUUCCACCGCGACCCAUCCAUUUCUUCAUCUCUCUCCGACGACCGCUCCUCCAUCAUCAACCAAACACGCAACACCACCACGCGACUCCACGUCCAAAUCGCGCCUCC